CUGAGAUCAAGAGUCAGACGCUUAACUGAGUGAGCCACCCAGGCGCCCCAUUCCCAGAUGUGUCUUGGGACAUGUGUUAACAAGCAAGAUGGAAUUUGUAUCAUAUAAUCUGACGUGCACUACAGAAGCAUUUCCAAUUUUAGAAAAAAACUUCAAUUUUACUUAUUAGAAUUCUUUUUAACACUUCAGAAGUAUGUGUCUCCUUGCUGUUAAUUGUAUAUAUACUGUUUAAUUGUAACUGGUAUGUUCUCAACAUCUCAUCUUGAUGAUCUUAAAAGUUUUUUCAAUAUUCUGAAUACUACAUAGAUAUAAAAUAGAACAGCAUAUUCUGAAUUGUCUGGGUGACCAUUGUUCAGUUGACUAAUGAAAUAGAUAACAGUUCCCACAUUUAUACUGAAGAUCAAGAAACUACCAAAUAUUUCAACUUCAAUUUCCUUGUGUUAAUGACAAAUGUAACACAUGCAAACUUGUGCCUGGUCAGGCGCAUCUGAGCAUUUGGGGGGCCUGGGGCCACAGCCCAGAUGCAAGCUCCAUAUGUCUAAAUAUUUACAAGUUAUAAAUCAAGCUAAUAAAUACGUAUAAAGCUAUGGCUCUGAAAUGACUGAAAGUUGGCAAACUAUCAAAGAGAACUAACUUUAUUAUUUUUCAUGUCUGGAUAGUCUGUUGAUAUUUGAUAUGAGUAAUAAAAUAAAUACAUACACA
This is a long non-coding RNA of Ailuropoda melanoleuca (giant panda), 702 nucleotides long. RefSeq lists it as uncharacterized. Lineage: Eukaryota; Metazoa; Chordata; Mammalia; Carnivora; Ursidae. The record is from RefSeq and is a predicted model, not a curated record. The transcript is spliced from 2 exons.